UACGUAGGGGGCAAGCGUUGUCCGGAUUUAUUGGGCGUAAAGAGCGUGUAGGCGGCUAGGUAGGUCCGUUGUGAAAACUCGAGGCUCAACCUCGAGCUGUCGAUGGAAACCAUCUAGCUAGAGUCCGGAAGAGGAGAGUGGAAUUCCUGGUGUAGCGGUGGAAUGCGCAGAUAUCAGGAAGAACACCAACGGCGAAGGCAGCUCGCUGGGACGGUACUGACGCUGAGACGCGAAAGCGUGGGGAGCGAACAGG
RNAcentral lists this ribosomal RNA (253 nucleotides) under uncultured bacterium. Its description in RNAcentral is "partial 16S ribosomal RNA". It matches the Rfam family "Bacterial small subunit ribosomal RNA", at positions 524 to 776 of the family's 1533-position model. The record is from RNAcentral.